Molecule: long non-coding RNA, 1137 nt
Filed under: Numida meleagris (helmeted guineafowl)
Lineage: Eukaryota; Metazoa; Chordata; Aves; Galliformes; Numididae
Description: lncRNA (ENSNMEG00000002643.1)
Source: RNAcentral
AUGCGGGGCCGCCCCAUAGAUGCAGGGCCGUGCCCCAUAGAUGCAGGGCCGUGCCCCAUAGAUGCAGGGCCGUGCCCCAUAGAUGCGGGGCCAUGCCCCAUAGAUGCGGGGCCGUGCCCCAUAGAUGCGGGGCCGCCCCAUAGCGCUGCCCCCCCAGGUGCUGGUGCUGCGGCGCGGCUGGGACACGGCGCUCCAGGCCCUGAACGUCACCAUGAGAACCGGCACCGACACGGCACCGUGACAACACCGGCACCGCCAACAACACCGACACCAACACCGGCACCGGGACCAACAACACCGACACCAACAACACUGACACCAACAACACCGGCACCGGCACCGGGACCAACAACACCGACACCAACACCAACACCACCAACACCGACACCAACACCGGCACCGGCAACACCAACACCAACACCGACACCAACACCGACACCGACACCAACACCGGCACCGGCAACACCAACACCGACACCAACACCGACACCGGCACCAACACCGGCACCAACACCAGCACCGCCAACAACACCACCACCAACACCGGCACCAACACCGGCACCGCCAACACCACCACCACCAACACCGGCACCAACACCGGCACCGCCAACACCACCACCACCAACACCGGCACCAACACCGGCACUGCCAACAACACCAACACCACCAACACUGGCACCGACACCAACACCAACAACACCGACACCGGCACCAUCACCAACACCGGCACCAGCAACACCAAGACUGACGCCGACACUGUCACCAACACCCGUGUCACUGUCACCUGUAUCCCCAUCACUGCCACCUGCGUCGCCGUCACCCGUGUCACCAUCACGGUGUCACCUGGAUCCUUGUCACCGUCACCAGUGUCACCUGGAUCCCUGUCACCACCACCCAUGUCACCGUCACAGUGUCACCUGUGUCCCUGUCACUGUCACCCGUGUCACCAUCACGGUGUCACCUGGAUCCCUGACACUGUCACCUGUGUCACCAUCACCGUGUCACCAUCAUGGUGUCACCUGGAUCCCUGUCACCGUCACCUGUGUCACCAUCAUCGUGUCACCUGGAUCCCUGUCACCAUCACCUGUCACUGCCACCCAUUGUCACCGUCCCCAUGGAAAUAAAGAUCCCCGCUGA